RNAcentral lists this ribosomal RNA (502 nucleotides) under uncultured bacterium. RNAcentral's name for it is "partial 16S ribosomal RNA". It matches the Rfam family "Bacterial small subunit ribosomal RNA", at positions 29 to 523 of the family's 1533-position model. The record is from RNAcentral.
AUUGAACGCUAGCGGCAUGCCUUACACAUGCAAGUCGAACGGCAGCGGGGGAGCUUGCUCCCGCCGGCGAGUGGCGAACGGGUGAGUAAUACAUCGGAACGUACCCAGUAGCGGGGGAUAGCCCGGCGAAAGCCGGAUUAAUACCGCGUACGCCCUACGGGGGAAAGUGGGGGAUCGCAAGACCUCUGACUAUUGGAGCGGCCGAUGGCUGAUUAGCUAGUUGGUGGGGUAAAGGCCUACCAAGGCGACGAUCAGUAGCUGGUCUGAGAGGACGACCAGCCACACUGGGACUGAGACACGGCCCAGACUCCUACGGGAGGCAGCAGUGGGGAAUUUUGGACAAUGGGCGAAAGCCUGAUCCAGCAAUGCCGCGUGUGCGAAGAAGGCCUUCGGGUUGUAAAGCACUUUUGUCGGGGAAGAAAUCGUUUGGGUUAAUACCCCGAGCAGUUGACGGUACCUGAAGAAUAAGCACCGGCUAACUACGUGCCAGCAGCCGCAGUAA